RNAcentral lists this ribosomal RNA (442 nucleotides) under uncultured Bacillota bacterium. RNAcentral describes it as "bacterial SSU rRNA". It matches the Rfam family "Bacterial small subunit ribosomal RNA", at positions 917 to 1359 of the family's 1533-position model. The record is from RNAcentral. Lineage: Bacteria; Bacillati; Bacillota.
GGGCCCGCACAAGCAGCGGAGCAUGUGGUUUAAUUCGAAGCAACGCGAAGAACCUUACCAAGGCUUGACAUCCUCUGACGUUCAUAGAGAUAUGAAUUCUCUUCGGAGCAGAGAGACAGGUGGUGCAUGGUUGUCGUCAGCUCGUGUCGUGAGAUGUUGGGUUAAGUCCCGCAACGAGCGCAACCCUUAUUGCUAGUUGCCAGCACGUAGAGGUGGGAACUCUAGUGAGACCGCCGGGGACAACUCGGAGGAAGGUGGGGACGACGUCAAAUCAUCAUGCCCCUUAUGUCUUGGGCUACACACGUGCUACAAUGGCCGGAACAAAGGGCAGCGAAGGAGUAAUCUGGAGCGAAUCUCAAAAAGCCGGUCUCAGUUCGGAUUGAGGGCUGCAACCCGCCCUCGAUGAAGUCGGAGUUGCUAGUAAUCGCGAAUCAGCAUGUCG